GGUUAAGCGACUAAGCGUACACGGUGGAUGCCCUGGCAGUCAGAGGCGAUGAAGGACGUGCUAAUCUGCGAAAAGCGUCGGUAAGGUGAUAUGAACCGUUAUAACCGGCGAUGUCCGAAUGGGGAAACCCAGUGCAAUUCGUUGCACUAUCGUUAACUGAAUACAUAGGUUAACGAGGCGAACCGGGGGAACUGAAACAUCUAAGUACCCCGAGGAAAAGAAAUCAACCGAGAUUCCCCCAGUAGCGGCGAGCGAACGGGGAGCAGCCCAGAGUCUGAAUCAGCUUGUGUGUUAGUGGAACGGUCUGGAAAGUCCGACGGUACAGGGUGAUAGUCCCGUACACCAAAAUGCACAGGUUGUGAACUCGAAGAGUAGGGCGGGACACGUGGUAUCCUGUCUGAAUAUGGGGGGACCAUCCUCCAAGGCUAAAUACUCCUGACUGACCGAUAGUGAACCAGUACCGUGAGGGAAAGGCGAAAAGAACCCCGGCGAGGGGAGUGAAAAAGAACCUGAAACCGUGUACGUACAAGCAGUGGGAGCACCUUCGGGUGUGACUGCGUACCUUUUGUAUAAUGGGUCAGCGACUUAUAUUCUGUAGCAAGGUUAACCGUAUAGGGGAGCCGCAGGGAAACCGAGUCUUAACUGGGCGUUAAGUUGCAGGGUAUAGACCCGAAACCCGGUGAUCUAGCCAUGGGCAGGUUGAAGGUUGGGUAACACUAACUGGAGGACCGAACCGACUAAUGUUGAAAAAUUAGCGGAUGACUUGUGGCUGGGGGUGAAAGGCCAAUCAAACCGGGAGAUAGCUGGUUCUCCCCGAAAGCUAUUUAGGUAGCGCCUCGUGAAUUCAUCUUCGGGGGUAGAGCACUGUUUCGGCUAGGGGGUCAUCCCGACUUACCAACCCGAUGCAAACUACGAAUACCGAAGAAUGUUAUCACGGGAGACACACGGCGGGUGCUAACGUCCGUCGUGAAGAGGGAAACAACCCAGACCGCCAGCUAAGGUCCCAAAGUCAUGGUUAAGUGGGAAACGAUGUGGGAAGGCACAGACAGCCAGGAUGUUGGCUUAGAAGCAGCCAUCAUUUAAAGAAAGCGUAAUAGCUCACUGGUCGAGUCGGCCUGCGCGGAAGAUGUAACGGGGCUAAACCAUGCACCGAAGCUGCGGCAGCGACACUAUGUGUUGUUGGGUAGGGGAGCGUUCUGUAAGCCUGCGAAGGUGACCUGUGAGGGUUGCUGGAGGUAUCAGAAGUGCGAAUGCUGACAUAAGUAACGAUAAAGCGGGUGAAAAGCCCGCUCGCCGGAAGACCAAGGGUUCCUGUCCAACGUUAAUCGGGGCAGGGUGAGUCGACCCCUAAGGCGAGGCCGAAAGGCGUAGUCGAUGGGAAACAGGUUAAUAUUCCUGUACUUGGUGUUACUGCGAAGGGGGGACGGAGAAGGCUAUGUUAGCCGGGCGACGGUUGUCCCGGUUUAAGCAUGUAGGCUG
This 1479-nucleotide ribosomal RNA is filed under the name Klebsiella pneumoniae. RNAcentral's name for it is "partial 23S ribosomal RNA". It matches the Rfam family "Bacterial large subunit ribosomal RNA", at positions 1 to 1527 of the family's 2925-position model. The record is from RNAcentral. RNAcentral also lists the same sequence under 2 other names. Lineage: Bacteria; Pseudomonadati; Pseudomonadota; Gammaproteobacteria; Enterobacterales; Enterobacteriaceae.